Molecule: long non-coding RNA, 261 nt
Organism: Adelges cooleyi (spruce gall adelgid)
Lineage: Eukaryota; Metazoa; Arthropoda; Insecta; Hemiptera; Adelgidae
Exons: 3
Source: RefSeq, a predicted model, not a curated record
AAAGUCAAGGUCAAGUAAGAGGUCAAGGUCAAGAAUGAGGUCAAAGUCGGGAUAGAGGUCAAAGUUUAGGUUGAGUUAGAGGUCAAGGUCAAGAAUGAGGUCAAAGUCGGGGUAGAGGUCAAAGCCAAGGUCAAGUUAGAGGUCAAGGUCAAGAAUGAGGUCAAAGUCGGGUCAGAGGUCAAAGCCAAGGUCAUGUUAGAGGUCAAAGUCGUGAUAGAGGUCAAAGUAAAGGUCGAGUUAGUGGUCAAGGUCAAGAAUGAG